GGUUAAGUUACGAAGGGCAUACAGUGGAUGCCUCGGCACUUAAAGGCGAUGAAGGACGCGGCUACCUGCGAUAAGCCUCGGUAAGACGGUAACAGUCUCAGACCCGGGGAUCUCCGAAUUGGGCAACCAGUCAGAAGUAAUGUUCUGACAUCCGUUACUGAAUACAUAGGUAACGUGAAGCUAACCCAGGGAACUGAAACAUCUAAGUACCUGGUGGAAAAGAAAACAAAGUGAUUUCCUGAGUAGCGGCGAGCGAAACGGAAAGAGCCUAAACCAUGAAGCGUGUUAAAGAGUGCAUUCGUUGCGCUUCAGGUGUUGUGGGACUUUUGGACCGAUAUGCAAUGGGUCAGAGAGUAAAAAAUUACAAAUCUAAUUGAGUCUUCUGGAAAGUUGAGCCAUAGAGGGUGAUAGCCCCGUAAAUGAAAGGUUUGUAACUCUUGAAAGUAUCCCGAGUACUGCGGAGCACGUGGAAUUCUGCAGGAAUCUGCCGGAACCAUCCGGUAAGGCUAAAUACUCUUAAGUGACCGAUAGUGUACAAGUACUGUGAAGGAAAGGUGAAAAGUACUCCUAACAGGAGGGUGAAAUAGAACCUGAAACUGUAUGCCUACAAACGGUAGUAGUCUGAAAUGGAGCUUGCUCCAAAUUGGAUGACUGCGUGCCUUUUGCUUAAUGAUCCUACGAGUUACUCGUAUGUAGCCGGAUAAGGUUUUAAGAACCGGAUCCCCAGCGAAAGCAAGUCCGAAUAGGGCGACUUAUGGUUACAUGCGGUAGACGCGAAACUGUGUGAUCUACCCUUGGUCAGAAUGAAGUAUCGGUAAAACGAUAUGGAGGUUCGAACUGGUGUGGGUUGAAAACCGCUCGGAUGAACUGAGGGUAGGAGCGAAAGACCAAUCAAACUCAGAAAUAGCUCGUACUCCCCGAAAUAGCUUUAGGGCUAGCCUCGAUUAAUUGUAUGCCGGAGGUAAAGCACUAAUUGGGCUAGGGCCGUCACAACGGUACCAAACCCAAAUAAACUCUGAAUACCGGUCAUAUGUAUCUCGGGAGUCAGGCAGUGGGGGAUAAGCUUCAUUGCCAAAAGGGAAAUAACCCAGACCAUCAACUAAGGCCCCCAAGUCAAUGUUUACAGACUAAGGAUGUUAAGUUGCUUUGACAACUAGGAUGUUGGCUUAGAAGCAGCCAUUCAUUUAAAGAGUGCGUAAUAGCUCACUAGUCAAGCGACUCAGCGCCGAUAAUACACGGGACUAAACAUUGCGCCGAAGUUAUGGACUUCGUAAGAAGUGGUAGGGGAGCAUUCUAUAUGCAGCGAAGGUGGGAAGUGAUUCCAGCUGGAGCGUAUAGAAAAGAAAAUGUAGGAAUAAGUAACGAUAAACAGAAUGAAAAAUUCUGUCACCGAAAAUCUAAGGUUUCCUGAGCAAUGUUAAUCAUCUCAGGGUUAGUCAGCCCCUAAGCCGAGGCCAAACGGCGUAGGUAAUGGGAAUCAGGUUCAAUAUUCCUGAACCAACGACAUUUAAACUAUAGUGACACAGAAGUGAAAGGAGAGCCACCUGUUGGAUGGUGGUCUAAGGACGUAGGGCAACUGAAAUCCGAACGAGAUGGCGCAAGCCUAUAAAUUCUCCCUAAUCAGGCUGUCGAGAAAAGCUAUAGCGUAUACUAAGUUGACUGUACCGCAAACCGACACAGGUAGAUGAGGAGAGUAUCCUAAGGUGCUCGAGUGAGCCGUGGUUAAGGAACUCGGCAAAUUAACCCCGUAACUUCGGGAAAAGGGGUGCUCUAAUUUAUUAGAGCCGCAGAGAAAUGGCCCAAGCGACUGUUUAACAAAAACACAUGACUAUGCAAAGCCUUUAAGGCGAAGUAUAUGGUCUGACACCUGCCCGGUGCCGGAAGGUUAAGAGGAGAGGUUAGCAGCAAUGCGAAGCUUUGAAUCGAAGCCCCGGUAAACGGCGGCCGUAACUAUAACGGUCCUAAGGUAGCGAAAUUCCUUGUCGGGUAAGUUCCGACCUGCACGAAUGGUGUAACGAUUUGGGCACUGUCUCGACCACGGGCUCGGUGAAAUUGUGGUACCGGUGAAGACGCCGGUUACCAGCAUAUGGACGAAAAGACCCCGUGCACCUUUACUGCACCUUAACAUUGGGUUUGGAUAAAACAUGUGUAGAAUAGGUGGGAGGCUUUGAAGCUGCAGCGCUAGCUGUGGUGGAGCCACAAUGUGAAAUACCACCCUUGUUUUGUUCGAAUUCUAACCUAGACCCCUGAAUCGGGGCCGGGAACAGUGUUAGGCGGGCAGUUUGACUGGGGCGGUCGCCUCCUAAAAAGUAACGGAGGCUUUCAAAGGUACCCUCAGCAUGGUUGGUAAUCAUGUGUAGAGCGCAAAGGCAUAAGGGUGCUUAACUGUGAGACAUACAAGUCGAACAGAUACGAAAGUAGGACUUAGUGAUCCGGCGGUAGAGUAUGGAAUUGCCGUCGCUUAAAGGAUAAAAGGUACGCCGGGGAUAACAGGCUGAUCUCCCCCAAGAGUUCACAUCGACGGGGAGGUUUGGCACCUCGAUGUCGGCUCAUCGCAUCCUGGGGCUGGAGAAGGUCCCAAGGGUUUGGCUGUUCGCCAAUUAAAGCGGUACGUGAGCUGGGUUCAGAACGUCGUGAGACAGUUCGGUCUCUAUCCUAUGCUGGCGCAGGAAUUUUGAGAAGGCUCGCUCUUAGUACGAGAGGACCGGAGUGAACGAACCUAUAGUGGACCAGUUGUCAUGCCAAUGGCACCGCUGGGUAGCUAUGUUCGGUUAAGAUAAGCGCUGAAAGCAUCUAAGCGCGAAACUUGCUUCAAGAUGAGAAUUCCCUAUGGGCUUGCCCAUUAUAAGACUCCUGGAAGAUGACCAGGUGAUAGGCUACAGGUGUAAGCAUAGUAAUGUGUUCAGCCGAGUAGUACUAAUAAGUCGAAAAGACUUUACCCG
Molecule: ribosomal RNA, 2942 nt
Filed under: Ignavibacteria bacterium
Lineage: Bacteria; Pseudomonadati; Ignavibacteriota; Ignavibacteria
Description: 23S ribosomal RNA
Rfam family: Bacterial large subunit ribosomal RNA
Source: RNAcentral